RNAcentral lists this ribosomal RNA (395 nucleotides) under uncultured bacterium. Its description in RNAcentral is "bacterial SSU rRNA". It matches the Rfam family "Bacterial small subunit ribosomal RNA", at positions 28 to 418 of the family's 1533-position model. The record is from RNAcentral.
GACGAACGCUGGCGGCGUGCUUAACACAUGCAAGUCGAGCGGUAAGGCCCUUUCGGGGGUACACGAGCGGCGAACGGGUGAGUAACACGUGGGUGACCUGCCCUUAGCUCUGGGAUAAGCCUGGGAAACUGGGUCUAAUACCGGAUAUGACUCCAUGACGCAUGUUGUGGGGUGGAAAGCCUUGUGCGGCUAGGGAUGGGCCCGCGGCCUAUCAGCUUGUUGGUGGGGUGAUGGCCACCAAGGCGACGACGGGUAGCCGGCCUGAGAGGGCGACCGGCCACACUGGGGACUGAGACACGGCCCAGGACUCCUACGGGAGGCGAGCAGUGGGGAAGUCUUGCGGCAAUGGGCGGAAAGACCUGACGCAGCGACGCCGCGUGAGGGAUGACGGCCUC